Molecule: ribosomal RNA, 457 nt
Filed under: Ixodes scapularis (black-legged tick)
Lineage: Eukaryota; Metazoa; Arthropoda; Arachnida; Ixodida; Ixodidae
Description: eukaryotic large subunit ribosomal RNA
Rfam family: Eukaryotic large subunit ribosomal RNA
Source: RNAcentral
GAAGUCGGCAAAACGGAUCCGUAACCUUGGGAUAAGGAUUGGCUCUGAGGACUGAGCCGGUCGGGCUGGGGACCUGAAGCAGGAACGGCACUGCACCGGGACUGGGCGGGGCUCGCCGUUGACGCGGCACGGCCAAGCCCGGACCAGCGUCGGGACCUUCCUGUGGAAAGCCUCAGCUGCGCGGCGUCCGAGGGCUUCGUGCCCAAAGUGCUAUGCUUCGGCCGGCAAAAAACAGUCAACUCAGAACUGGCAUGGACCGGGGGAAUCCGACUGUCUAAUUAAAACAAAGCAUUGCGAUGGCCGCUGGUCGGUGUUGACGCAAUGUGAUUUCUGCCCAGUGCUCUGAAUGUCAACGUGAAGAGAUUCAUCAAAGCGCGGGUAAACGGCGGGAAUAACUAUGACUCUCUUGUCAAACAAAAAGCGAAAACACUAGCUGUGUCAACCCUGCUACCGCUGU